Molecule: ribosomal RNA, 460 nt
Filed under: uncultured bacterium
Lineage: Bacteria
Description: partial 16S ribosomal RNA
Rfam family: Bacterial small subunit ribosomal RNA
Source: RNAcentral
CCUACGGGCGGCAGCAGUGAGGAAUAUUGGUCAAUGGGCGCGAGCCUGAACCAGCCAAGUAGCGUGAAGGAUGACUGCCCUACGGGUUGUAAACUUCUUUUAUAAAGGAAUAAAGUGAGGCACGUGUGCCUUUUUGUAUGUACUUUAUGAAUAAGGAUCGGCUAACUCCGUCCCAGCAGCCGCGGUAAUACGGAGGAUCCGAGCGUUAUCCGGAUUUAUUGGGUUGAAAGGGAGCGUAGAUGGGUGGUUAAGUCAGUUAUGAAAGUUUGCGGCUCACCCGUAAAAUUGCAAGCGAUACUGGCAGGCGUGAGGACAGGUGAGGUAGGCGGAAGUCGGGGGGGAGCGGGGAAAGGCUGAGAGAGCACGAAGAAAGCCGAUUGGGAAGGCAGAUUAGGAAACGGCCACUGAAAUGGAUGCUCGAAAGUGUGGGUAUAAAACAGGAGUAGAUACCCUAGGAGGC